RNAcentral lists this long non-coding RNA (9711 nucleotides) under Equus caballus (horse). RNAcentral's name for it is "lncRNA (ENSECAG00000058350.1)". The record is from RNAcentral. Lineage: Eukaryota; Metazoa; Chordata; Mammalia; Perissodactyla; Equidae.
GGAGGAGGUUUUGUUUUUUGGAGGGUGGCAGUGAGGGAACUGGGCUGCCUUAUAAACCAUAGUAAAGCUUGAAUUGUAUUCUACUCUGCUCAGCACCCCCAAGCCAGGCGUGCUUCCACCUCAAAGCCUUUGCACUUGCUAUCCCCUCCAACUGGAAUAUUCUGCAGAACUCUGCAGAGCUCACUCCCUCACCUCUUUCAUGUCCUUUGCUCAAAGGUCACCUACUCAGUCACCUUCUCAGUGAAGUCUUCCCUGGACUCUGUUUAAAAUUGUAACCACUCCUCCUCCCCACCUCCACAAUUCCCUGUUCCUCACCCCUUCUUUAUUUUUCUUCAUAGUACUUACCACUAUCUACAUACUGUCUACCUGACAUUCAUGAGAGGACACAUUAUUGAGGGCAUGGCACAUGGAGGACACUCAGUAAAAAUGUGUUUAGUGAAUGAAUGGAAGCCAUUAAAGAGAGUUAAGUAGAGAUUGACAUAAUAUAAUUUCUGUUUUUAAAAGGGAGCUGUUGCUGCUGUGGAAAGAAUGGAUUAGGGAAAGACCAGCAUAGAAGCAGGAGACCAGUUGGGAGGCUGAUGCAGUGGUCCAGGUGAGAAAUGAUGCUGGCCUGAGCUAAGAGUCAUGGUAGUGGGUAUGAAGAGGCUGCUUGGGACUCAAGAUAUAUUUUGGAAGUAGUAGCAACAAGACUCCAUCAUGUUAUUGGGGGUAAGGAAAAAGAGACAAUGAAUGAUGCUUCCUCUGGCUUGAGUUACUACGUGAAAUGGGGUACAGUUUAUUGAGGUGGGGGACGAUAGGGGCAGAGAAUCAUUAGUUUCAUUUUGGACCCAUUAUGUUUGUACUGUUUUUGUGACAUCUAAGUGCAAACAGUACUUAAGUUGGAUGUGCAAGUCUGGACCUCAGAGGAGUGGUCUGGGUGGGAAAUACAAAUAUGUAUUGAAAAUCAUGUAAAAAGCAGAUAUUUUAAGGAAAGACAAUGCCCUGGUGGUGGUGGAGGUAGGAAUGGUCUACAGGGAAGAAACUGAGAAAAUGAUGUCCAGGGAGGGUAAGUACAGGAAAGCGUUGGUAGGAAAAAAUGGGGAGAGGGAGGGAGUAGAAGAAAGAGGGAGAUGAGGCUCUGAAUGUGGUGCUGGGAAGGAGGGACAGAAAGCAGGGGGCAAAUGAGAUUAUCAGUCUUAUCCUGUGUGUGGGGACAUGGGCAAUGCCUGCCAGGAUGAAAGGAAUGAGGGAAGAAUAGAGGAGAGGGGUAACUGGAAUAUGAGAGAAAGUACAAGACAGGAGUCAAAGGGGAGAAGACGAGAGCACAGGAUUAGCUGGGAUCAUAACCAGAGAUCCACCCAGCAGCUGUGGCUUAGGAGGUGGCCACAGGUCAGGGCAGUUCAGAGGUCAUGGGGUGGCCCUAGUUUAAGAUUAGAAGGUGGAGGAAUGAGAAGAGAGGUGAGGGUGGAAGGUGAUCCUAAGAACUUGGCCAUGAGGAAAAUAAGAUGAUGCUGUUAGACUUAAACUUUAACAUCAAUUCUAAAUGGGCAAAGGUCCGCCGAAGGCAGGGAUUUUAAGCUAGGAGUCAUAAAACAGCUUCAAGGACAUCCACAAACCCCAUGAAAUUGUUCAGAUGGUUUUAUAAGGUUGGCGCUUUUCUGCAGAAAUAGUUGUGGAUAGCUUCUGUCAGAUUCUCUGAUAUUAUCCUGAUGUUAAAAAAAAAAAAGAAUAAGGAUCUGGUAAGUAGAGCAAGAGAGAGGGUAAAGCCAUAUCUAAAAAGGAAUAUGUCAGUCAAAAGGAGAUGAAUAAUAAAGCACCCAAAGGAGACAAAAAAAAAGAAGCGGGCCAUGCCCACCUAAGGGAGGAGGUCCCCAAUGUGAUCUAAUCUAGAAGCUGCCAUCUUGGAUAAGUGGAAACGGUCAGAUCAGAACCCGACGCAAUGAUUCAUUGACAUUAUAUAACUCAUGCCCCUCGUUCUGACUCCAUACCCACCGAGCAACAUUCUGAUGAGGCACUGUGGAAGGCACUGGUCCACCUGACAGGUAGAUUUUUGUCAUUGUAAAUUACAUAAGUGGCUGUCUUGUUUUCUGCAUCUGGUGCACAUCUCGUGAAUGUUUUUUGUUUGACUCAGCUUUCAGUUCUGGGACUCCAACGUGGUGAAGUUUCUGAGUCUGGUGAAAAGCUGAGUGAGGGCUUGAUACAGGGCCGUGGGGAAUUUCAUCAAAACAUCAUCCAUGAGGCUCUUUAAAAAGUCAGCCCAGUUGUCUUCCCUUGAGAGCGCCUCCAACUUCAGGGGGCACAUAGUUGAGAAAUGUCCUGCCUUUCCUACAGGAAGGAUCUACAGAAGGAACUUUUUCAGUGCUCACAAAUAUGAACUGUCCCCUUUAUAGGCAAUACAGUGAAGGAGUGUCUUUACUCCUUCAGUUUAACUGAAUAAACAAGUGGAACUCAACCCCUCCCACUCUCCACCCAACUCCCUAUUCCCUUAAACUGAGGAAGCACUUGGCUAUGCCCCAGGACUGUGUGUGUCUGCAGGGAAGAAUAAAUGAUCUGCUCCCAGACAAGUCAAUGGAAAGAGCUGGGGAAUAAACAAUACUAAUGGCCAAUACUUAAUGAGCACUUGAUGCCCAGCACUGUGCAAAGUACUUUAUCUUAAUCCUCUGCCAACCUCAAAAACUAGAUACUCUUGUUAUAUUAUAGUCUCGUUUUAUAGCCUUUAGUCACACAGCAGCAGAGGCAAGGUUUUAACCCAAGCAAUCUGACUUGAAGCCCAUGGAUUAACCAGCUCACUCUAGUGCUGCAGGAGGCACACCUAGAAAACCAGGGAGCAGAAGCAUGGCUGCUGUAGAUUGAAUUGUGUCCCCUCAGAAAGGAUAUGUUGCAGUCCUAACCCUGAGUACUCAAAAUGGGACCCUAUUUGGAAAUAGGAACGUUGCAGAUGCAAUUAGUUCAGUUGAGGUCGUAGUAGGGUAGAUUGGGCCCCUGAUGUAAUAUGACUGGUAUCCUUAUGAGAAGGCAGCUGUGUGAAGACAGAGACACACAGGGAGACCACCAUGUGACAACAAAGGAUUGGAUUUAUGCAUCCACAAGCCAAGGAACACCAAAGAUUGCCAGCAAACCACCAGAAGUGAGGCAGAGGCAAGGAAGGCGUCCCCUACUGGUUUCAGAGGGAGCUCAGCCCUGCUGAUACCUUGAUUUUGGGCUUCUUCCCUCCAGAACUAUGAGACAAUCGAUCUAUUGUUUUAUGCCACCCAGUUUGUGGUACUUUGUUGCAGCAGUCCUAGGAAACCGAUACAGUGCCCUUCUUUCUUGAACCCGUGGAUGCCGGGUAGAAAAAAGGAAUGUGAAGUCAUUCAGCAGAUAAUAAAAGGUGGCUGUCCCCUUCCUCCCCUCCAGACCCAAGAUGCUAUGGCUUCACAGGGCAUAGGCCCCACCCAAGUGGCUAUGAUGAAGGGGCCUCAAAUAGGCACCACCCAGGCUCCAGCACCAUCAUCACCUCAUACUUUUGGGGACUUUUCCAGCCGUAUAGUUAAGAUCUUAAUUCUGGUUCUGUUAAGUGGGUGGCUGGCAGUAUGGCUGGCUAUUUCCCAGAGCCCCCUUCACUCUUCCCAGCUUCUUCCACUGGCACUUCAGUUUGGAAGUUAAGCCUAAGAAACUCUACAAACUACUUCAGGCAGGGUGAAGUUCUAACGCAAACCAAUUUAGGUCCUUCAACUACAGCCAAGCUCGUGCAUGUAGAGAAGCAGUUAAAUCAUCAGAGACUCUUACCUACCUCAUUUUAUUCCAUGGAAGGUAUCUCUUUCUGGCCCAACUGUGGGAGUCCCCGCAGGAGGCCCCCGACCAUGCUGGGUGCCUGUAUAUGGAUGCUUGAAUUGCUUGGGCUCUAUAAGAAAACUGUUGUGAGCCCUCUCUGGGUGGGGUUUAUGACCUUUUGUGCAGUGUUUCUGUUAGUUUGCAUACCUUUCUCUGCACCGUUGCAGCUGAGAUGGUCCAAAACCACAAGAUCCAGGAGUGUCAAAUAACUGCAGGGAGAUGGGAACUCCCCUGGGGAUGAGACCUUUAGCCAAGAUGAUCCACUCCCAGAAGUGAUGAGGCAGAGCAUGUAGCAAUACGGGAGCUCACACACUUCACCCAAAUCUUCCAUUGUUCCCAGCCUCCACGCACCCCCUGCCAUUCCAUUGGAACCAUUUCACUCACACUAUUUAUUCUAAAACCUGGGAAGUUUCUUAGUAACCUCUGUCUCCUGUUUGAUCAGGCGCUGCACUUUCCCACAGACUAAUGUGUUCUACCCAGGUCUGCCACUAGCCCACACAGUGGCAUUGUGCAAAUUAGGCAACAGGUGUCCCUGCCCCCAGGCAGAUACUGCCCUGUGCCAGGCUCCAUGGUGAGCAGAGUAAAAUAGCACAUCCUGGAUUUCAGCUGCCGCUGCCCUUGGGCUGGAUGCCCUUGUGCAGGACAUGACCUGCAUGACCCUCCAUGACAUUCCUGCAGUUGGGAGCAAGUCCUGACAGAGCUAGUGCUGUCUACCGUGACACAAUCAGCCAACCAGACUUCUUGGGGUUUGGUGCACCACACUGCAAUGGCUUCAUUCAUUUAAUUGCUGCCAAAGCCUGAAGUAUUGCCAUGCUCAGCAUAAGUACUUAAAGAACAGUUAUUAUCUAAGUAACGUUACCUACCUUCUCAGUUUCCUCAUUUGUCAAAUGAAGAUAAUAAUCAGACCCUUCUUCAUGGGGUUGUUGUGAAGAUUACAUGAGAUAAUCCAUACAAAAUACUCUGCACAGUGCUGAGCCCAAGAAAUAAAAGCUAUUAUUCCAAGUGCUUUCAUCAAUCAAUCAAGAGCAAGUCAAGAUUUAUUCAACAAAUAGGCAGUAAGCAACUAUUUUCUGCCAGGCUUCGUAUAAGGUGCUGUGGUUACCAAGGUGAAUACCCCUAUCUGGUAGGGAAGGUGGAUGUGAACAUACGCAAAGACCGUGUGCGGCGGGGUCAGCGCUGUGACAGAGGCUGUUUUUUGGUGAGGAAAAUUGGCCCUAAGCUAACAUCUUUUCCAAUCUUCCUGUUUUUAUUUUCUCCCCAAAGCCCCAGUACAUGGUUCUAUAACCUAGUUGUAAGUCCUUCUAGUUCUUCUAUGUAGGGGGCUGCCACAGCAUGGCUUGAUGAGUGGUGUGUAGGUCCACACCCAGGAUCCCAACCAGUGAACCCCGGGCCACCAAAGCAGAGCAUGCAAACUUAACCACUAUGCCACUGGGCUGGCCUGUUCUUUAUUAUUUUAAUCAAAUUUAGAAGGAAAAUUUAGCCAAGCCCAAAUGGAAAAAUGGUUUCUUAAAAAAGAAAAGCCACAAAAUAAAUACCAGAGACUAAAUUUCAGGGCCUUUAAAAGUACAAGUGCUUAAGCUGCCGCCUGAAGAUUCUCAUUCAGAGGGUCCCAGGUAUUUCUAUUUUUUCAGACCUCCACAAAUGAUUUUGAUGUUCAGCAGGGUGAGACCCACUGAGAUAGACAUUCAUCAUUAUCCUGUCAAAUGAUCUAAUAAACACUCUGUCUGAUCAGAAAUAGCAGUACAAAGAAAACUUCCAUAAUUAGAAUUUUUUUACCCUAAUAAAAUAUGUUCCUACUUGUGGGUUUUUCCAUUUCCAUUUAUUUAGCUGUACUCUGACAAAUUUGUAGCCUUUGUACGUAAUCCAGAACACAGAAAGGACAGCUUUUGAUAAAUACGUGUGGUUCUGUACAAUGUAAGGAAAAAAUAUGGCAUAGGAGUGAUAGCCAGGGGUUAGCAGGAAGAGGAAUAAAAGCAGAAAAAAAUGUCAUCUGCAUGUCACUCAAAAAGUAUUGAUGGAAUUAUAAGGAUGAUCUCCCACUGUGACCAGCUGUGGCCCUUUCCUAAGGAAUAGAAGUCUCAAAUAGUCUCAUGAGAUUAAUAUGCAUAUUUUUCUUUCUUUUAUAAUGCUGGCAUUGAGUCAUAGGGAGUUAUUGUUAAAGACUAAAGAGUAGAAAGAAAAAGCCAAAUAGAGCCUUGUCCUACCCAGCUUAGCUUCCAAAGAAUAUAAUGAAAAAGAUGGUCGAUUCUUUGAAAAAGUAUUGGCGUUAACUAGUUUUCAUGAUGACUAUGUUUCGAGACCAUCAUUUCCCAAAGUGUGCUCUUUAUAAAAAAUAGUUCCUCAGAAGGCUAGAGGUAUUACUUGAAGGGGUUCCUUCCUUGAUGAAGUACAUUUGUAUUGCAGGAUUUAACCGAGGUAGAGAGGUUUCUUUGAAGGACUUCUCAGGGCCUUUGUGAAUUGCCAAGAAAAGAAUAUAAUAUGAAAUAUGAAAACCUUCUCUUGGUUGAUGGAACAUACUUUGCAAAACACUUCCAUAGACCAUGUGAUUUCCAGUAAGAGCUAAAUAAAUGUUACUUAUUAAAGCAGGGAAAAAUUAAUACUGGGUAUUAUGGUCCUAAAUUUACAUUACUUAAUUUGUAUUUGUCACCUAAGGAAAAUUAACUUUCAUGUGAAAAUUAUGAGAUAAUAUAUAGAAAAUUCAACAGCCUCUCCAGACAAACCCUUAGAACUAAUGAGAAAGUUCAUUAAAGUUUCCAGACAUAAGAUCUUUGCCAAAAGGAAAAUUGCUUUCCUAUACACCAAUAGCAAACAAUUAGAAAAUUUAGUUUUAAAAAUACCAUUUAUAAUAGGACCAAAAUAUACACACUAUCUAGGAAUAAGUCUAAUAAAAUAUGGUCAAAACUUCUACGGAGAAAACUUAGUCUUUAUUGAUAAAGACAUAAAAGAAUUCCUAAACCAAUGGAGAGGUACCAUGUUUGUGGUUUGGAAGACUCAAUGUGGUAAAGAUGUAAGUCUCCAUCUGUCACUCCUUUUGCUUCCUAAUUAAGAUUUACAUUUUUCUUCUUACCCUUUCAUUCUCUUGUUUCUUAGAAUAUCCACAAAUGAAGAAGGUAUUAGCUCUUUCGUUGUUAGAAUUCUGCCUGUCUUAGCAAGCCUCUAAUGAGACAUGUUUUAGCGUUCCAUCUAGAGAUGCCCAAUAAUAACCUGGGGGUUGUUUGUAAGGUUUCCAGUAUAGUGCAAGAAGUUCUUAAACAUUAGUGUAAUAUCAGAUUCCAUGAGCGGCCUAGGCAAUCUAUUUGUGUCUUCCAACUGCUGGAUAUCUCUUUGGUACCUUAGCUAAAAAGAACUUUUCUUGUGCUCCAAAGUGCCCAGUUUAACUUACAAAAUGGAAUGCAGUAGAUGUAAUGAAGGCAGCUUCUUGGCUCCCAACAAUACUCCCAGUGGCCACAUUUGUGCUACAUUUCCUCUGAUAAUUGACUCGACCCUGCGUCACAGAGGUGGGCAAGUGAUCCGGGCUGGGUCGGUUCCAAUGCCUCAUUCCUCUGGCCUGUGAUUGGACCAGGUAGGGGACACUUGACCAACCCUGGGCUGAUCAGUCUUUCCCGAUGGAGGAAAGAAUAAAGCUAACAUGAAAAGAGCAGAAGAGAUAAGAGACCAGUAGUUUUUGAACCCCUGGCUCCAGUCACCCCUUCAUUUGAGUGGGUUGAGGAUAUGAGCCAAUAAAGGUCCCCUUUUUUGCUUAAAUAAAUUCAGUAUGGCUUGCUGUCUCUUACAACCAAAGACUCUUCACAAUAAAUAAGCAGGUGGAAGCUUCAAUUUCCCAGGAGUCUACACAGGCUGCUAGUCACACAGCCAGAAGUUAUUCAGGGAAGCUGAAACACUACAAGUUACAGGAAAAGAAAUUAUUAGAGGAAGGAGACCUUACAUAAUGGUGGGAGGAGCUGGGGAAGUGAAGGAUCAGGAGGAAAGUUGGUGAUCAGAAGAGAGGUCACCAUUUGGUCAAUCAUAGAAGUUAAGCACAUCCAGCACUGAAAUGGCAUGGCUGAGGCAAGGCUCGUGAGAGGUCAGUGGGCAGCUGUGCCUCUGGGUAGCUAGCACCUUUGUGGAUCACUGUCAAGGAUCUGGUGGUGAGUUGAGGGCCACUGUCAGUCAAGAGGGUCAGCAGUUGGAAAGAAGACGUAGAUCAGGAGGAGAGAACAAGGACAGGCUGGAACCCAUGGGCACCUUUGCGUCUAUCUGCAACCACUUCUAACCACAACAGUCUUCAGAAGGCAACAGCUGCUGCUCCACCUCCACCUUCUGUCUCGCGCACAUUCCUCUUUGGACCAACUCCUGCCUGGACCUGUACAGGGAGAGAACUCUGGGAAAUGUAGAUCCCAAGUUAUUCAAGUUGGCACAGUACAAACUGCCCUAACCUUUAUCCAGGCAGCCACACACUGAGAACUUCCUGUAAAGGUUCUCCUGUAAAGAAGGAAAACCAGAUGCUACCAUACUUGACUUGACCGGGGCCUCUGCAGCAGUCUGACCCCGAGCUGCCAGCUGCGCUUCUCCUUGGGCGAUUUUUCUCACACCUUCCCAGGUUCCUAGCUCUGCAGCCCUCUUCUCUAUACCUAAGCACCUUCGAUCCUCCUCUCAGAUCUGUAGGCUUGGCCCUGCCAUAAUUUUUAGGACUGAUUCCAACUUUAGAACAGGAAGGUUAAGGAUGGGUAGUCUGCUGCCUGGCGACAUAGCACAAAGGUAAGUUUGCUCCGAGGUCAGCUUUGACUUCUUGCCCCUGCCCUGGGUUCUCUUGGCUGGCUUCUGCCUUGCUCCAGGAGCCAGAAAUGCCAUUUUGAUUAUCUGCUGAGCAUCCCCUCCAGGGCUCCCAGGACUAAGUGCCUGCCUAGCUUCGUUGCUCCCCAAGCCCCACCUGAGUCCUGCCUCUGAACUCCAGCCGGAGCAACAGCUGCUACCUGCAAACGCGCUUUCCCAGAUAUCAGCUCCUACAAGUUUGAUUUCUGAUUGCGGCAAACCCAUGACAUGCUUGAGCAAGAUUCUCCCAAGCCAUUGUGAACCCCUACAUUGUUUGUGCGGGUGACUUGUUCUCCAGAACCAAAGGGUCACCUGUUUGUUGUGCAUAGCCUCGCACCACAUAUUCACCUCCUUUUCAACUUUCACUAAAAUUGGACUCUCCCUUGAUGACAGUUUCUGUGCAUACUCAAACAGCUUCUUCAGUCUCUUUUUUUGUGUAGAGGACAAGUGGACCUGUUCAUCCCUCUGAGCCCAACCCGGCUGAGUUCGACAUUCAGUUGUAUUUCAUUUUCUGGUUGAAUUUCUCUUUAGUUUGAUACCGGCGGCAGCAGCUGACUUUCUGUUCCAAAGAAAAAACUAUUGUGCUUAUUGUUAUUUUGUAAUUACCUAAGGAAUGUUGCUGCAUGCCCAACCAUGAGCAAAGGACCAGAGUCGAGGCCGCUAGCUGAGAAUAAGGACCAGACAAAAGAGAGAUGGAGCACUGAAGACAUCUUUGACUAUCUAGAUCCAACCGUGUUUGAAGCCAAACAAUCCCUACACUUACGUGAGUCAGCAAAUUCCCUUUUCUGCUUCGGCCAAUUAAAAUUUGGUUUAUGUUAUUUGCAACUGAAAGAGUCGUGUAGUAUUCUCACGCUCUUCACAAACAUCCUGUUUCCUUCUUUCCAGACACGUGAUGGGAGUAUACUUCCAUAUCCUCUUUGAAGUUAGAUGUGGAACGGGACCUGCUUUGACCAAUGACAUGGGAGCAGAUAUUUUAAGAGCCAAUACAAAUUCUCCCACUUCUUUCUCUCUCCAUAGCAACCAGCGGUACUCCAGUUAGUGUUUCUCACGUCAGCCUGGUGUCCAGAGUGAGAGUAACGUGGAACAGAGCCCCCAGCUGACCUGUGACGGACACAUAGCAUGAGAAAG